AGUGAACGCUGGCGGUAGGCCUAACACAUGCAAGUCGAACGACAGCACAGUAAGAGCUUGCUCUUACGGGUGGCGAGUGGCGGACGGGUGAGGAAUACAUCGGAAUCUACUUUUUCGUAGGGGAUCACGUAGGGAAACUUACGCUAAUACCGCAUACGACCUACGGGUGAAAGCAGGGGAUCUUCGGACCUUGCUCGAUUGAAUGAGCCGAUGUCGGAUUAGCUAGUUGGGGGGGUAAAGGCCCACCAAGGCGACGAUCCGUAGCUGGUCUGAGAGGAGGGUAGCCCACAUGGGAACGGAGACACGGUCCAGACUACUACGGGAGGCAGCAGUGGGGAAUAUUGGACAAUGGGCGCAAGCCUGAUCCAGUCAUACCGCGUGGGUGAAGAAGGCGUUCGGGUUGUAAAGCCCUUUUGUUGGGAAAGAAAAGCAGCAGGUUAAUACCCCGCUGUUCUGACGGUACCCAAAGAAUAAGCACCGGCUAACUUCGUG
RNAcentral lists this ribosomal RNA (492 nucleotides) under uncultured bacterium. RNAcentral's name for it is "partial 16S ribosomal RNA". It matches the Rfam family "Bacterial small subunit ribosomal RNA", at positions 29 to 507 of the family's 1533-position model. The record is from RNAcentral.